AUUAUCAACACGGCAGCGCGGAGGCUGUGGGCGUCUGCAGGAAUUACAACGUAGGAAGUACAAUUAAAAAGCUGCAGGCAGUCACAUCCACAGACGGCGAGCUUGCAGAACGCGGCAGAAGGCCGCGCGGAGGUUGAGGCUGCAGUCAGAAAUAGGCAGCGACUUCUCAGAAGAGGCUCCCGGUAGUCGCAGUAUGACUGGAGAGCCGAGGCAACUCACCGGCUGCGCCUCUUGCUCACGUCGCAUCCAGUGACGCGCGAGGCCGUUCCCGCAAGCGGAAUCAGUUUGAGAGAAGUCUGUUAGGUGCACCUGCGAUAGUGCCUCUGAAUGCUUGUGGUUGGUUUUGUUUGAGUCGCGGCCAACUGACAAAUGUCAAGUCGAGCCACUUUUUGUUGUUG
This is a long non-coding RNA of Gasterosteus aculeatus aculeatus (three-spined stickleback), 398 nucleotides long. The record is from Ensembl. NCBI's taxonomy places the organism in Eukaryota, Metazoa, Chordata, Actinopteri, Perciformes, Gasterosteidae.